UAAGUCGGAUUAGCUAGUUGGUGGGGUAAAGGCCUACCAAGGCGACGAUCUGUAGCGGGUCUGAGAGGAUGAUCCGCCACACUGGGACUGAGACACGGCCCAGACUCCUACGGGAGGCAGCAGUGGGGAAUAUUGGACAAUGGGGGGAACCCUGAUCCAGCCAUGCCGCGUGUGUGAAGAAGGCCUUAUGGUUGUAAAGCACUUUAAGCGAGGAGGAGGCUACUUUAGUUAAUACCUAGAGAUAGUGGACGUUACUCGCAGAAUAAGCACCGGCUAACUCUGUGCCAGCAGCCGCGGUAAUACAGAGGGUGCGAGCGUUAAUCGGAUUUACUGGGCGUAAAGCGUGCGUAGGCGGCUUAUUAAGUCGGAUGUGAAAUCCCCGAGCUUAACUUGGGAAUUGCAUUCGAUACUGGUGAGCUAGAGUAUGGGAGAGGAUGGUAGAAUUCCAGGUGUAGCGGUGAAAUGCGUAGAGAUCUGGAGGAAUACCGAUGGCGAAGGCAGCCAUCUGGCCUAAUACUGACGCUGAGGUACGAAAGCAUGGGGAGCAAACAGGAUUAGAUACCCUGGUAGUCCAUGCCGUAAACGAUGUCUACUAGCCGUUGGGGGCCU
RNAcentral lists this ribosomal RNA (609 nucleotides) under Acinetobacter baumannii Naval-17. RNAcentral's name for it is "bacterial SSU rRNA". It matches the Rfam family "Bacterial small subunit ribosomal RNA", at positions 232 to 832 of the family's 1533-position model. Lineage: Bacteria; Pseudomonadati; Pseudomonadota; Gammaproteobacteria; Moraxellales; Moraxellaceae. The record is from RNAcentral.